Molecule: transfer RNA, 72 nt
Filed under: Ictidomys tridecemlineatus (thirteen-lined ground squirrel)
Lineage: Eukaryota; Metazoa; Chordata; Mammalia; Rodentia; Sciuridae
Description: Spermophilus tridecemlineatus (thirteen-lined ground squirrel) tRNA
Rfam family: tRNA
About the family: Transfer RNA (tRNA) molecules are approximately 80 nucleotides in length. Their secondary structure includes four short double-helical elements and three loops (D, anti-codon, and T loops).
Source: Rfam by way of RNAcentral
GGGGAUGCAUCUCAGUGGUAGAGUGUUUGCCUAGAAUGCAUGAGGCAUUGGGUUUAAUUCCCAGUAUUAUCA